Molecule: ribosomal RNA, 547 nt
Filed under: uncultured Glomus
Lineage: Eukaryota; Fungi; Glomeromycota; Glomeromycetes; Glomerales; Glomeraceae
Description: SSU rRNA
Rfam family: Eukaryotic small subunit ribosomal RNA
Source: RNAcentral
UUGGAGGGCAAGUCUGGUGCCAGCAGCCGCGGUAAUUCCAGCUCCAAUAGCGUAUAUUAAAGUUGCUGCAGUUAAAAAGCUCGUAGUUGAAUUUCGGGACUAAUAUGUCGGUCGUGCCUCGGUACGUACUGGCUUAUUGGUUUCUCCUUUCUGAAGAACCAUGAUGUCAUUUAUUUGGUGUUAUGGGGAGUUAGGACUGUUACUUUGAAAAAAUUAGAGUGUUUAAAGCAGGCUUUAGCUUGAAUACAUUAGCAUGGAAUAAUGAAAUAGGACGUUCGAACCUAUUUUGUUGGUUUCUAGGAUCAACGUAAUGAUUAAUAGGGAUAGUUGGGGGCAUUAGUAUUCAAUUGUCAGAGGUGAAAUUCUUGGAUUUAUUGAAGACUAACUACUGCGAAAGCAUUUGCCAAGGAUGUUUUCAUUAAUCAAGAACGAAAGUUAGGGGAUCGAAGACGAUCAGAUACCGUCGUAGUCUUAACCAUAAACUAUGCCGACUAGGGAUCGGAUGAUGUUAAUUUUUUAAUGACUCAUUCGGCGCCUUACGGGAAAC